CGUGCCAGCAGCCGCGGUAAUACGUAGGUGGCAAGCGUUGUCCGGAAUUACUGGGUGUAAAGGGCGUGUAGGCGGGGAUGCAAGUCAGGUGUGAAAGCCCAUGGCUCAACUGUGGGACUGCAUCUGAAACUGAAUCUCUUGAGUACUGGAGAGGGAAGUGGAAUUCCUAGUGUAGCGGUGAAAUGCGUAGAGAUUAGGAGGAACACCAGUGGCGAAGGCGGCUUCCUGGACAGUAACUGACGCUGAGGCGCGAAAGCGUGGGGAGCGAACAGGAUUAGAUACCCUGGUAGUCCACGCCGUAAACGAUGGAUACUAGGUGUAGGAGGUAUCGACCCCUUCUGUGCCGGAGUUAACACAUUAAGUAUCCCACCUGGGGAAUACGACCGCAAGGUUGAAACUCAAAGGAAUUGACGGGGGCCCGCACAAGCAGUGGAGUAUGUGGUCUAAUUCGAAGCAACGCGAAGAACCUUACCAGGGCUUGACAUCCCUUGACAGCUCUAGAGAUAGAGUUUCCCUUCGGGGCAAGGAGACAGGUGGUGCAUGGUUGUCGUCAGCUCGUGUCGUGAGAUGUUGGGUUAAGUCCCGUAACGAGCGCAACCCUUAUUGUUAGUUGCCAGCAAGUAAAGUUGGGCACUCUAACGAGACUGCCGGUGAUAAAUCGGAGGAAGGUGGGGAUGACGUCAAAUCAUCAUGCCCCUUAUGUCCUGGGCUACACACGUACUACAAUGGCUGGUACGGAGGGGAGCUAAGCCGCGAGGUGGAGUCAAUCCCCAAAACCAGUCCCAGUUCGGAUUGCAGGCUGCAAUUCGCCUGCAUGAAGUGGGAA
RNAcentral lists this ribosomal RNA (826 nucleotides) under uncultured organism. Its description in RNAcentral is "bacterial SSU rRNA". It matches the Rfam family "Bacterial small subunit ribosomal RNA", at positions 504 to 1331 of the family's 1533-position model. The record is from RNAcentral.